Non-coding RNA from Oryza punctata, 181 nucleotides. The record is from Rfam. NCBI's taxonomy places the organism in Eukaryota, Viridiplantae, Streptophyta, Magnoliopsida, Poales, Poaceae.
AAUAAAUGCAGUUUUACACUGUUCAUGUCUAACAUUUAAUCGUUCGUCUUAUUCGAAAAAAAUUUAUGAUUAGUAAUUUUAUUAUUAUUAGAUGAUAAAACUUUUUUUUAAUUUUUUUAUAUUUUUUUAAAUAAGACGGACGAUCAAACGUUGAAUACGGAUACCCACAGCCGCACUUAUU